RNAcentral lists this transfer RNA (63 nucleotides) under Nothopuga sp. 1 LP-2008. Its description in RNAcentral is "tRNA-Cys". Lineage: Eukaryota; Metazoa; Arthropoda; Arachnida; Solifugae; Ammotrechidae. The record is from RNAcentral.
UAGGUCUUAUAGUUUUAUAAAAAAUAUUAAAUUGCAAGUUUAGAGAAAGGCUUCUUAAGACUU